Clupea harengus (Atlantic herring) is the source of this 531-nucleotide long non-coding RNA. NCBI's taxonomy places the organism in Eukaryota, Metazoa, Chordata, Actinopteri, Clupeiformes, Clupeidae. The record is from Ensembl.
UGCGAAAUCGGCAGGGGUUCAAAUACUUAUUUUCCCCACUGUAUUUAUGCAUGCAUGUAUGUAGUAAGUGCUAAGAGUGGCUCUCCUACUCAGGUCUUUCAUGGCUAAAGGUGAGGUUAGUGGCGCAGGUGGAUGAGUGUGUCCACUGCUGCACUGGAGCCCCUUGCUCCCCUCGUCUGAAGGUCUGUGCUCCCCUCGUCUGAAGGUCUGUGCUCCCCUCGUCUGAAGGUCUCUGCUCCCCUCGUCUGAAGCCCCUUGCUCCCCUCGUCUGAAGGUCUGUGCUCACGGAGUCGCUGCCUUUCCUCCUUCGGCACCUCAGAGCACAAUGAGAUGAAAGGUCCGAGGCCCCUGUGCCUUUUCCUCUCUCUUGUUUCCUGCUCUCUUGCCUCUUCACCUCUACGGCUCUGCUCUCCCUCGGAGUGUGACACACCACGCUGGAGUCUGAAAGGCCUCAGAUAGAGAAGGCGGACGAGAAUGCUCCUGCUGUCCGUCUGUGGUUGGUGUGAGACAGCCUUUUGUCUUUUAACGCCA